GCAUUAACCCAAAAAUAAAAGAAGCAAAUGAGUGUCGUCGCUGUUUCUGUAAAACAUGUGUGUUCUUCGUUGAUCUUCCUUCGGCGGCGACGGUGACGAUCGAGUGUCGUCGCUGUUUCUGUAACAGUUCGCGUUAUUGUUUCUAUGUGUUUAAUCUCAUUAAUUCAGACGUCCACUACAGAUUCUUCAAUGCGUUGUUUUCUUCGGCUAGAUCUAUGAUAUCGGGUAUAAAUAGCAUACCGAGAAGAAGUACAAGUAUGUUGGUGUGAAAACGAAGAGACUAUAAAGAGAAAGGAUGAGGAAAAUAGAAUGAAGACAUGGAGAAAUCAAAGAAAUCACUUUUAGUAAAAGACUGUUGGAGUUUUGUCAGAUGAUGUUUCUAAGUUUUUGAUCGUGCUCACCACUACUCAGUUUUGGGCAAGCAUGGCUUAUCUCAGCCGAGAAUAUUGAAAAAGGUAAUGCUUUUUAUUUCUUCAUUGAGAUGAAUAACUCUCUACCUUUAUCAGUUAUCAUAUACUUUUGUAACCAAGAAAAACGUAUAUUGAGUUUGCAAGCUUUGUGAGGAGAUGCUGGACCAUCACGAAAUGUAUGGAGAAUGAGAUAGUAGUUGAAGCUUUCAUGAUCUUCAGAACCCAUACAAGGCAAUGAUUGUGGUUCAUCAUUUGUAUCGGUGCAUCAAGGUCCUCCAUCUUUGAUCUCCCUAGCUGUUUCCAUUGGGACUUAAACAAGCCACUAAUUAUGGCUGACAAAGAGUUGGAAGCAAGGGGGUAGGACUAGGAAGUGCUGCAGCUCCUUAUGUUAUUGUGGCAUAGGCAAAGUUGUUGACAUGAGCUGUUUCGGAAAUAAGGCUACACUGUUGUUAGAGCCAUAAUCUGGAGUAGAAACCCUUCCCAGAAUUUAAGAACACCGAUAAAGCAUUGAAGCUUGCUCUACUAUUCAGCUGCUGCAUCAAUAGCUUUUUGCUCAAUUGUUAAAUCCUGGAAAGAUAUUGAAGAAUGUAGAAUCCUAGACAGAUAUUGAAAAGAGUAGAAGUUUGUGUUGGAAGAGAGUGCAAGAAGUAAGGAAGAGUUGUAUUAUUGGAUGAGUUUCAGAGAUCAAUGACGGUCAUUGAAGGGUCUGCUGUGGCUUGCAAGUGCUUGGGGAAGAGAUGAGAUUGUCAAAGUGUUAAAGUAGUAACGAGUCUGAUCUGUGAUGACUUUCUGUUAAGGCCGUUUGUAUUGAAGUUGUGUUGCAAGAUGUGGAAAUUAUUGUGGUUAAAAGAUACUUUGUUUUUCUGUAUAACACGUCCUGUAGUAGAAACCCUUCAUAUGAUGUAAGAACACCCACAAAGCGUUGAAGCUUUCUCUAUAUA
This is a long non-coding RNA of Raphanus sativus (radish), 1351 nucleotides long. RefSeq lists it as uncharacterized. Lineage: Eukaryota; Viridiplantae; Streptophyta; Magnoliopsida; Brassicales; Brassicaceae. The transcript is spliced from 4 exons. The record is from RefSeq and is a predicted model, not a curated record.